Molecule: long non-coding RNA, 232 nt
Filed under: Hordeum vulgare
Lineage: Eukaryota; Viridiplantae; Streptophyta; Magnoliopsida; Poales; Poaceae
Description: long non-coding RNA (HVUL_LNC015968)
Source: RNAcentral
UUGACGUAACUAUAGGUAGGUCUCCAUGGGUCUUGGGCAAGACGACUUCGGUUCACACAUGAAAGUGCUUCGAAAGGCACCGGCUCCCAAUGGUGAAAUUCUUGCUGAAAGUCUAGCUACGUGCUGGCACUCAAUCAGGUUGUAGGGCUGGCACGUCACUCGUCUCCUCGGCUCACUUCGGUGGCAAUUUCUCCUUAGGCGCAUGUCUCAGCAACACAAAACGAGGGUUUCA